UUGGCUGUCGUCAGCUCGUGUCGUGAGAUGUGGGUUAAGUCCGCAACGAGCGCAACCCUUGUCAUUAGUUGCCAUCAUUUAGUUGGGCACUCUAAUGAGACUGCCGGUGACAAACCGGAGGAAGGUGGGGAUGACGUCAAGUCCUCAUGGCCCUUAUGGGUAGGGCUUCACACGUCAUACAAUGGUCGGUACAGAGGGUUGCCAAGCCGCGAGGUGGAGCCAAUCCCUUAAAGCCGAUCGUAGUCCGGAUCGUAGUCUGCAACUCGACUACGUGAAGUCGGAAUCGCUAGUAAUCGCAGAUCAGCAUGCUGCGGUGAAUACGUUCCCGGGUCUU
RNAcentral lists this ribosomal RNA (334 nucleotides) under uncultured Thauera sp. Its description in RNAcentral is "bacterial SSU rRNA". It matches the Rfam family "Bacterial small subunit ribosomal RNA", at positions 1045 to 1382 of the family's 1533-position model. The record is from RNAcentral. Lineage: Bacteria; Pseudomonadati; Pseudomonadota; Betaproteobacteria; Rhodocyclales; Zoogloeaceae.